This is a long non-coding RNA of Gadus morhua (Atlantic cod), 2508 nucleotides long. NCBI's taxonomy places the organism in Eukaryota, Metazoa, Chordata, Actinopteri, Gadiformes, Gadidae. The record is from Ensembl.
AUGGCACAUCAAAAGGCAAAGUGGCCGAUGUUUGACGGUAGGGCCGAAGAAUAUGAGCUCUUGGAAGAACGGAUGCUGUGCUGUAUGCACCGUGUCAAGUUAAAAGAGACUAUUCUGAACGAGCCUGGUGGACCGCUGACAGCUGAGGAACGAGCCAUGGAUGAGGAGCUGAAUGCUGAUGCUUACUGUUCGUUGGCGCCAUUGCUGGAUAACGUGAGCUUGGGACUGAUAUUCAGAGACUGUAAAAAUAAGGGACGCGAGAGUCUGCAAGUGUUGAGAGAGCACUACAUUGGCAAAGGAAGGCCACGGAUUGUUUCGUUAUACAUAACGUUAACCUCGCUGAAGACGCGGACACAGACUGUGACAGAGUACAUUAUCCGGGCGGAGCAGAUCUUCACAGCGCUCAGAGGUGCAGGCGAGGCACCGAGUGAGGGGUUGAUGAUGGCUAUGAUUAUGCGGGGACUUCCAGAGAACUACAAGCCGUUUACGCUGAUGGUAACCCACGGUUCAGCGGAGAUGAAACUGGCGGAGUUCAAGGCUAAGCUGCGAAACUUCGAGGCGUCGAAGGAUGCUGAGCCAGUAGCCGAGAUGGCGGGAGAAAGGGUGCUGAAGGCUCGCGCAGCACUGAAGAAAAAGAACAGCGGAUCUUCGACAGAGAUGGCGUGUUGGCGGUGCGGUGAAAGGGGACAUCGAAAAGAUGAGUGCACAAGAAAAGUUUGGUGCGGUUCCUGCAAAAGCACAAGCCACAGCGACAACGCCUGCAGGAAGAAAGAGCGUGCACAAAGGUCCAGGUGUGCUCGUGCUGAAGAUCACGGCGGUGGUGGUGGCGGCGGCAGCAGCGGUGGUAGCAGUGGCGGUCGGGCAGCGAAUGGUGGACGGAUCGAGGCGCGGGGACCCGCGAGAGUCGACUUCACAUUCCGGGCAGAGACCGAGGACACCUGCAAGCCAGCGCAGCAGCGGCAGAUUGAGGGAAAAGGGCUGAUCGUCGACACUGAUGCGACAUCCCACAUGCUGAACGACAGGAGCCGGUUCAAGUCCUUCGACAGCACAUUCAAGCCGGAGAGCCACAGCAUGGAGCUGGCCGACGGGAGGCAGACAUUCGGGUUGGCGGAAGGCAGAGGAGACGCACAGGUGUGUCUCACCGACAGCGACGGACGAAUGUGUACAGUAACUCUCAAGAACGCCCUGUACAUCCCUUCGUUCCCACAAGAACUCUUCUCCGUGAAGUGUGCCACUGCACACGGUGCCAAGGUACUCUUCGAGGAAGGUAACGAUGUUCUUGUAGCGCCUGAUGGUGCAAGGUUUAGCAUUCAAGUGUGUGUCAGAAUGUACUACUUGCAAACCAAGUGUGAUGACAAUGAUAUGUGCAAUGUUAGCCACGAUAUUCAAACCUGGCAUGAAAUUAUGGGGCAUUGUAAUUAUGAUGACAUACUGAAACUGCAGGAUGUAACCCUAGGCAUGCACAUUAAGGGUGCAAAACGUAAGCCCGAAAAGGAAUGUCAUGUGUGCAUAGAGGGGAAGUUUACUCGGACGAGAAACAGAAAUGCAACAGACAAGGUGAAAACACCACUGGAGUUGGUAAACACUGAUCUAGCUGGUCCAGUGACCAAUGGUUCAAUCGAGGGUUACAGGUACAUGCAAUCUUUCACAGAUGUGUACACAGGAGUAGUAUUCACAUACUUCCUCAAAGCAAAGAGUGAUGCCGUACUGGCUACUGAAAAGUUCUUGGCUGACAUAGCGCCUUAUGGCAGUGUGAAAUGCAUCCGGUCAGACAACGGGACCGAGUUCACAAGCAGAGAGUUUAAGACACUCCUGCGAAAGAACAAGAUCAGACAAGAGACGUCCUGUCCUUACUCCCCACACCAGAAUGGGAUAGCUGAGAGGGAAGGGCACACUCUCUUUGAGAUGGCAAGGUGUAAGCUCAUUGACAGCAACUUACCUAAGAGUCUAUGGCAUUACGCCGUUCAGGAAGCGGCAUACACCAGAAACCGAUGCUAUAACAAGCACAUAGGCACAACCCCAUACACAGCACUGACAGGGAAGAAGUGUGAUCUAGCCAAGAUGCACAAAUUCGGGUCAGAGUGUUAUGCGUACAUACAAGACAAGGGUAAACUAGAUCCCAGGUGUGAGAAGGGUCUUUUCGUAGGGCACGACAAAGGCAGCCCAGCCUAUCUAGUUUACUACCCCACCAAAGGUAAAGUGCAGAAGCACAGACUGGUCAAGUUUAUCACUAAGACCACAUGUGACAGCGAGACUCAGACUCAGGACUUAGGACUUGACACCAUUGUAAAUAGUGACAAGACCGACACACCACAGCCCAGUGCUCAGAGCACAGACGUACAGACUGACAGUCCACAAUCCCCAGAGGAUGAUGGCGAGGAGCACCAAAGGGUGACGCCACAGGCCCCAAGCAGUGGGAGGUACCCCACUAGAGAGCGUAAGCCCCCAAGUUAUCUCUGUGAUUAUGCUACUGAGGAUGAUAGUGGUGAUGAUGAUUGUAGCGACUAG